This 2354-nucleotide long non-coding RNA is filed under the name Homo sapiens (human). Its description in RNAcentral is "non-protein coding lnc-DNAH6-6:1". Lineage: Eukaryota; Metazoa; Chordata; Mammalia; Primates; Hominidae. The record is from RNAcentral.
AGCUAUUACUGGGUAGGGACUCCCUCAAUUGGCGCACCACAGUCUAUCCAUCAAAAAUUUCUCAACCAUGGCCCUGGGAUUGAUUGCCCAAAACCCAUUAGAGGACUGCAGGGAUCUGCCAGAAGGUGGGACAUGAGAUAUGAAUACAUUCCUUAAGGCUCUGUAGCCCUGAAAACUCAGCCCCAGAAGAUGAUCUGUGCAGGAGGUUUUGAGCCUAUCCAGGGUACCAGAGACACCAGGACUACCUCCUCCAGCCAAGACUGACCACAGUCCAGAGAACAAAACCCAGAUAUCAGAAUCUAUCUCUGACACUGGACUCUUCUUUCUUGCAUUGUGGGAAAUGUAAGAACUACUCUUGGAAAGAAACAGUAGAGACCAAGAGACACUGCGAUGGAAGCUGACUGGUUUCAGGGUUCAAAGGUCUGUGUUCCACCCCAACUUGGCCAGUUAUCAGCAGGAGGGGCCAUGAACAAUCCAGAAAAACCCUCUGGGCCUCUGGUUCCCCAUCUGAAAAAUUAAGGAUAGUGAAACUUGCCUUGCCUACUCACAAGUCUGUCCUGAACUCAUGAAACUCUAGCAGCUUUUCUAUCUCCUCAGCUUUUCUAUCACUUAGGUGAAAAACCUGUGGCCUAAGAAAUUAAAUGACCCACUUACCUGUUGUCUUAGUUUGUGUGUCCCCAGACCUUGAAACAAGCAAUCAAAUACAAGUAGUGUAUUUAAGACAGGCAAGAAAAACUGUCAGAGGAGUGGAAAAGUGAACCAAGGAAGAGAAGGUAGCCAGUAAAAUGAUUUAUCAGUCUUGCUGCCUUGGGGACAACUGAAAGUUAAUUCCCUGAGGAAAUUCUGGAAAUGGAGUACAAUGCAGGCCUUGAAGUUAUCCUGCCCAUGGAAUAAGGGAGCUUGGGUGUUUGCAUGCCAGUCUUGCAGAGUCCUUGGUUGAGGCUGCUGGGGCAGGAUGUGAGCAGAGUGGACUUCAUGGCCCUUUAAAAAAAAAAAAAAAAAAGAAAGAAAAAGCCUGCAGACAAAAGGAAGCAGAGUCUGGCUAGUGGAGGUUGGUCAGAAUGCAUGGAAAUGGCAAGGCCCAUUGGGUAUGUGUGUGUCAUUGCGAUGGCUUCAACAGCUAACAGUCAACAAGGCUAAGAUCUCAACUUCGGUUCCCUGACAUCCCAUUAGGGUCUUUCCCACUAUCACAACUCCCUCUGACAUUAUGGCUCAGUUCUCCUGACUCUCCUCCUCAUGAGGUUUCUGCCAAUGCCCAGACUGCUUCCUGCCAAUGUUGUUCUUCCCAUACAUGGUAACACCAUUGGGUCAGAGCUGGGAGAGGGCAUCCCUUGGCCAAACUGUCCUCUCCAGGCUCUGGCACUCAGCUCAGAAUGCUCAGCAUUGCAAGCCUAGAACAAGUUCCUUAACAUGAGAAUUCACAGAUUUGGGUGUCUGUUUCCAGACCUACGAUAUCUGUCAACAGAAUACUAAUCCAAGAAGAUAUUUUGACAGGAGAGAGAAUAGUGACCCCAGAAAAAAAGGCAAGUAAGAAGAGAGGGAAGUCCUUGAGUCCAAGUGACAAGACCAUCAGGGCAAGACAGGGUACAAGGGGAUUCAGUACCUGGUUCGGAUACUAAAUCUGCAAACAGUGAGCAUCCCUGUUGUUUACAGAAGCACAUGUCCCGGAUGCAGGUCAAAAGCCUAGAGCAAGCUAGAUCUGAGCUGUGCAUACAUUGGCAGACACGUGUGAGUGGCCCAGUGCCCCAGGGACAAGGUUCUUUUCUUAGCUGGGGAAAAACAGGCACCGGACUAUCUCCACCGAGGCCUCACCAAAGCAAUCAGUGGAGUGCUAAAUACCUAUCUGACAAGUCCAAAGUCUAGGUGAAGAAACAUGGAAAUGGUCUUUUCUCUUUGUGUUUUGGUGGUAGAGAGGGGCUGAAAGGACAAACAGUAAAAUAAAUAUUUUAAAAGUCGCAAAACAUUAAGGAAAAUUCUGACCCAUUAGAUACAAAUUCAUAAUUAAAAUAGCCUAGCCUCACUGCUUCUGCAUGUCAUCAAUUGUAAGAUGCACAUUUUUUUUCACAUUUUAAUGUCCCUGAAAUUGGAGUUGUCUUUGCAGUAAUGGUGGCCCUCAGUCCCUCCUAGCCAGAGAAUAGUUACAGCAAAAUUGUCAUUGCCCACAUGUCCCAACAUGCACAGAGAUACUCCCAUUUUCUUUACUCAUGUACUGAGUUUAGUUAUGCAAGAUGUCUUCAAACCAGAAAAAUGUCAGUAAUUGUUGAAGUUAGAUAAUGGAUUCACAGAGUUUAUUAUUUUAUACUUUCCACUCUUUUAUAUGUUUAAACAUUACUAAAAUAAAAAGGAAAAAAGGU